This is a non-coding RNA of Oryzias latipes (Japanese medaka), 601 nucleotides long. The record is from RefSeq and is a predicted model, not a curated record. NCBI's taxonomy places the organism in Eukaryota, Metazoa, Chordata, Actinopteri, Beloniformes, Adrianichthyidae.
CGUUCACACUCAUACAGCUGCAACCCAAGGUGCUAACCAGAUCACUGGGAGAAACACAGUAUGGGCUUCAGUGUUUUUGGAAAAGGAUCAAAAUCUGCAAUCAGAACUGGGUCUUCGCUUGGGUGGAUUUAACAAAGCUUCCACCCAGUCCACUCUUUCCAGCACGUCUCACGUCAGGCUUACACUCUUCAGAAUCCUUAACUGUGAUCCCUCCGCUGCGUAAAGAGCGGCAGGAGAUCAUCAGAAACUCCCCCCUGAGUUGUUGGUGGGACUGUCAGCACACAGAAACCCCACCCCAUGUUCCCCUCCCCAUUGCCCCUUGCAUUUUCUGUCACAUAUAUGCAGGUUUUCUAACGGCUUCUUUUCAUCUGCUCCUGAUUCACAACAAUUUGAAUAAAAAAAUACUGAGAAAUGCAUUUUAAUUUUCUUUAUGUAUGUCCUCCAUCCUUGGAAAAAUGCCACAAGAGCAUCAUAAAAGCAAAGAUUUUCAAGAUUCAUUGUCUUAAAACAAAUCAUGUCUCCUUGAAAAGGUACUUGUAUUCUAGUUUUGACUUAAUUCAAGUGUAAAAUGACAUUUAAACAAGGAAAUAAACAACAUAUU